Molecule: long non-coding RNA, 3902 nt
Filed under: Fukomys damarensis (Damara mole-rat)
Lineage: Eukaryota; Metazoa; Chordata; Mammalia; Rodentia; Bathyergidae
Description: lncRNA (ENSFDAG00000027885.1)
Source: RNAcentral
AGUUCCUCCACCUAUUUGGGAAUCAUGAUUAUUAGUUGCAAGUGUUGUUCAUUUGUUUUUCUUGAGCCUGAUUUCUCUUUCCCGUGUGAACUCUCGUUCCCGUGGAGCGGGUGUUGAGGUUACUAUAGUAAUCCUAGCCCAUAAUAGUUCGGUCUUUUCCUUUAAAAGGCUGAUGCUUGCCUGCAAUAAACGUCGCCUUGAUCAGACUCUUGUCUUGGCGUCCUUCCUUUCUCUCUGCCCCAUCUCCACCCCGCUGCUCUUUCAGGUUUGAGACACUGCUGGACAGUGCUCUGCGUUGCUGGCUCACUACAAGGCCACACGACACCUCCAGGGAAAAGGGAUAUUUUUCCUGGAAAGCAGCAGCGAUGAGUGAGCAACAGAUCACUGACACGGAAGCCGAAGUGAGUGCAGCAAAAGCCAGGGACUUCAGAGAUAGAAGAACUCAGACUGGAAUAAGGGUCUUGCAACCCUGAGCAAGUUGACAUUUCUGUGACUUGCUUUCUUCAGCCCUAAGACAAGGCCAUGUGGGAGUACUGGUUGUGCAGGAGACUGGAGAUGGUGCCAGACAACCCUGCCUGAUGCCCACUGCAGCAGAGUGCACUUACCGCGUAUCCUCCCUGCCACUGAGUGCGGGCACACGAAGCCCUGGAAGGCUGCUCCAGGGUUGGCUGGACAUCCUGACAGCCCGUGGCCAGCCCCAUGUCCCGACAGCAGUCAGCAGUCCCCAGAGGUGCCCAGCGCACGUGGCCUGGGCCCACGGCUCUGUGGGACAGAUGCCCAGGCUUCAAAGGAGGCCCUCAGAGCAGCCUCUGCCUCCCAAGCACUUCUUCCAGAGCGCAGCUGAGGCAGGCUCAAAGCUAAAUAUGUGGACUGAAGGAGAAGGAAAAUGCAGUUCCUUGGGGAAUCUCACCCGAGAUGCCGAGGCUGAGGGCAUCAAGAGCAGCAGCCUGUGCAGCCUUGGGUCCCGGCCGGCAGCCUGCAGCGUGCUGGAACCAUGGGGGUGGCUCUGGUCUGCAGAACCAAGCAGCGCAGGUGAAGGGCUGGGACAGGAUGCUGGCCUUCUGCAGCCAGACUGACCAUUCGGUCCCAGGGAAGGGUUUCUGCUGAGUCACCACAGUGCCCAGAGUAACACGAAGGGAAAGCAUGGCAGUGAGAGACAAAGACGGCCACAUUCAAGACUCCAUCCAGCCUUCCUCGUCUUGUGCCUCCCAGCCCGAGAGAGGUCCGUGUCCUCCGGAAGUGAACACAGUGAUGAGACCCUCCCUGGCCCCUCCGGAGUGUACUGGCUUCACUGGCGGCAGGGUGCACCUCAGGUCCCUUCCUCCUGCUGGGCCUCGCUCGUGGUGACAGUGGUUCCCUGCCUGCGGGGCUACCUCUGCCCAGAUCUCUGCUCUGUUUCAGGGGCUCCUCUACCACAUCCCGGUCGGACCGACAGCCCAACUUUGCUUGAUGAGAAUUGUUGGGCCCUGUGUCCACUGGGAAGCAGUCUCGAUUUAAAUCGCUAUUUUCCAACUGCUUGCCAUGUUGGCACUGGAAAGGGUACGGUCUACUUCCCCCAGCAGGCAUCCCAUCCUCAGCCCUUACUCCCGCUGCCCAGGUCACCCUUGCUGUGGAGUCAGUCCGCGAUUGUCGACCGGAGCUGGCUGACGCCUCCUUCCCUGUCUGGUAAUCGGGCUCCAGGUUCUGAGUGCCUGGGGCUGCCCUGCCCGUCUCCUCUGUUAGGCUACUCCUCUUCUUCAUUCCUGCCCACACGUAUCAGUGCGCCAGACAGGACUGAUCCGCAGGCUGGCAGACCUGACUUCCAAAUAUAAAUCUGUCCAGACCUCGCUCCUGAGCUUCAGCAAGCAGCUAGGAGACGGCUCCAUCUGGACGUCCCACUGGCAACUCAAAUCUGGCUUCUGAACAGGAGUAGUUUCCCUCGAUCUCCUGGAAAACUGCUCUUUAUUCCUCCUGCUCUUGUUCUCUCUGCCAAGCUUAGCCAUCACAUGGUGUCAACCUCUCCUUGCGCACGCCUCACUCCUUAGUCUCCCCCUCGCCCAUCCUCUGGGACCGGCCCUUCCCUCUACCCCUGCACCCACUGCUUCUCGCCUGACCCUCUCAGUUCCCUUGGAGAAUGCAGCAGGCUUGGUUUCCGCUCUGGGUUCCUGGUAGUUAGCUGGGUGCAGAGUCCCUGGAGUGACAUCUCCGGAAGGGGAUGCAUCUGCCCUUCUUCCUGCUGAUGACCAGGUGGUGGCUUUUCACUGUCAUCAAAGGCUAAUGUCUAAACUACAUCAGGAGCCUGUUGUAGUGCAUUUUUUGUUGUUGAUAAUUGACUCCUGCAGGCGAGGUAUUUUUGAAAAUAAGGUUUAUCUAAUUCGAAGUUCUGGAAGCCCAAGGUUGAGGGGCCACAGCUGACAAGGGCUGCUUGCUGGAAGACUUUCUGCAGUGACCCAAGGGACCCUGGGCCUCGUCUGGUGCAAGACAGCAAGACAUCACAUGGCCCCACCAUGGCCGCAGGUCUGGCCUGCAAACCCCAGAGUCAGAUCAGGUCUCCACCCUCUCAGUGCCUCCCACUGGGGGGCAGGCUGGGGCGAACCACAGUCAGGGCUUCAGGACCCAGCUCCACCCCACUGUCCAGAUCUGGUGCGAUGGAGUUCCCAAGUGCUCCCAGGCCUGGUCAUCUCCUUAACGGAGCGCUCUUUCUGGCCCAUGUCCUUUAGCAAGUCUGUUCUCUCCCUGGGGUGCUCCUCCUCUCAGAGGGUACUCAAUUAUCUCCCGGCCCUGGAAACGGCCCUCUCCAGGUAGAGCCCCUGGGUGCACACUGCGGUGUGUUCUGUUUCUUUGCUCUGGCUCUGGGUCCUGCUGCUGACACGGCACAGGGACCUAGAAUGCAGCGGGUACUCGGGGCACUUGCUUUGCGAAGCCGCUAAGGACAUGAAAGCACGGGGGCUGUGCCUCGGGCUCCUGCCCGUCUCCACCUUGAAGCAGCCACCCGGCUGUAGCAAGGCAGCGGCCUUCCAGGACAACACGGGCAGAGCCAGACCAAGGCGGAUGGAGGCGCCCACAGAGGCCAUCCUGGCCUCGCCGCUCCCAGCCUUCCCCACCUCACUCAGAAUUAGAAUUAAAUCGCCAGUGGGGAGUGGGUGAAAGGAGAAUAAGUUUCAAUAGGACAGGGUUUUCUGCCUCAGCUGUCCUCUUAAUCACAAAACACUGAAUCUCCUCCAUAAUACACAGGUUCAAAAUUAUUUUGAUUUACAGAAUAAUAUUUUGAGCACCUACGUGUUCAAUUACAAUGUUUAUGUGAUGAACUGAAGUUUUGUGGGGCAGUCAGUAUGCGUCUGAAAUUCCUCCCUCUCCCUUCUCUGCAGGAAAACCUUCCAAUCAUCAUGUAGAUUUAAGUUUGGAUUUCUUACCCCAUCCUCCACACUUUUGUAAUUAGCUACUCACCAAGUCUGGGCAUUUCUAGACACACAGUCUCUUCUCCGCCCUGGUGCCUCGAACUCAUGGCCUCGAUGUUCACCUGUGAAACUGCAGAAGCAGGCCAUGCUGUGAGGGAAAGUGAGGGGCCCGAGCUCCUCGCUGUUGGCCACUCAGGACCACAGCUCUGUGACGCAACUGUGUGCCCAGGCAGCUGCCGCCAUCCAGCAAUGGCAGACCACCAGGGUUCUCCGAGCUCCACUCCCAGUGUGGCCAAGGCUGUUCAUAGCACUGGGCACCUUGACCGCAGAACAUUUCAACUCUGAUUCCAAUCCCAAGAACGCUGCAUAGAAUGAUUCUCUUGAGAAAUUUGUCAACCCCAUAGAAUUUUAAAGCAAGGGUUACUUGAGUGAGUCCCAUCAAGCUGAUUCAUGAUUAAUACAACAGAAUAUAUUCUAUUUUAUCACUAUUUUCAACAGAUCAGUUAUUAAAUUAUGUAACUGGGG